UGGUAAUAACAAUGCGAGUGCAGUUUUAGAUUUCUUAAGAUAUGGUUUUCGACUAUAUUAAUUAUUGCAAUGUCGUGUCGGUCGCCAUCGGUAUGGAGACGUCGAUAACAUCAAUAAGGUGGACCAAAUACGUGCAUAAUAUUAUAUCAUUUUCACAAAUCAUAGUGGUCCUCAAGAUUUUGAGUUGGACGAGACGGAAUUUAUUGGUCGUACAAUGAUCCGGGUCAUUUGUAGAGCUUCUGAAAAUUUGUGCAAUCAAACUUCCAUAAUACUAUAAGUAAUAACCAAUAAGGUAAAUGCGGAUGAUGGGAAAAACUGAGCCACGAGUCUAUAACAGAGAUAUACCCACUGCACGUACUGCAACACGUUUAAGGUGCUAGGUGCAUAGAUGCAAACUAUUGGAUUAAAAAAAAAAGCAUUGAAUAUAAAUAAUUGUCGUCGAAAACUCGACGAAAAUCGGCUCAGG
Long non-coding RNA from Myzus persicae (green peach aphid), 466 nucleotides. RefSeq lists it as uncharacterized. The record is from RefSeq and is a predicted model, not a curated record. The transcript has 3 exons. NCBI's taxonomy places the organism in Eukaryota, Metazoa, Arthropoda, Insecta, Hemiptera, Aphididae.